GGACGUGGGGACAGGCAGACACAGGGACAAGGGGACAGGUUGACAGGGGGACGGGAGGACAUGGGGGACAAGAGGACAUGGGGACAGGGGUGACAGCAUGCCAAGGGUGACAAGGACACAGGGAGACAGGUUGACAGGGGGACAGAUGGACAUGGGAACAGAUGGACAUGGGGACGGGGGGACAUGGGGACAGGGGUGACAUGGGGACAGAUGGACAUGGGGACAUGGGAACAGGGGUCAGGGGGACAGAUGGACAUGGGGACAGAUGGACAUGGGGACAGGGGUGACAGCAUGCCAAGGGUGACAAGGGGAUGGGGGGACAAGGGGACAGGGGGACAAUGGGGACAUGGGGAUAAGAGGACAGGGGAACAGGGGGACAGAUGGACAUGGGUGACACAAUGGGUGACACAAUGGGUGACACAACGCCAUGGGUGACUUUGAGGGUGACACAGUGGGUGACACAAAGCCACAGGUGACACAAUGGGUAACACAACACCAUGGGUGACACAACAGGUGACACUGGGUGACACAAUGGGUAACACAACACCAUGGGUGACACAACAAGUGACACUGGGUGACACAAAGGGUGACACAACACCAUGGGUGACGCGACAGGUGACACAACGGGUGACACGACGUGUGACUCAAAGCCACAGGUGACACAGUGGGUGACACAAAGCCACAAGUGACAUGAGGGUGACACGAUGGGUGACACAAUGUGGAGGGUGACACCAUGGACACACAAUAGGUGACACAACACCAUGGGUGACACAAUGGGUGACACAAGGGUGACAUGAUGGGUGACACAAUGUGGAAAGUGAUACCAUGGACACACAACGGGUAACAAAACACUAUGGGUGACACAGUGGAUGACACAAUGGGUGACACAACACCAUGGGUGACACAGUGUCUGACAGAGCACCACAGCUGACACUGUGGGUGACACGAGGGGUGACUCAAAGCCACAGGUGACACAGCGGGUGACACAAAGCCAUGGGUGACACGAGGGUGACACGAUGGGUGACACAAUGUGGAGGGUGAUACCAUCGAACUCACAACAGGUGACACAACACCAC
This 1076-nucleotide long non-coding RNA is filed under the name Phasianus colchicus (ring-necked pheasant). RNAcentral's name for it is "lncRNA (ENSPCLG00000018925.1)". Lineage: Eukaryota; Metazoa; Chordata; Aves; Galliformes; Phasianidae. The record is from RNAcentral.